CGUAGGGUGCGAGCGUUAAUCGGAAUUACUGGGCGUAAAGCGUGCGCAGGCGGUUAUGAAAGACAGGCGUGAAAUCCCCGGGCUUAACCUGGGAACUGCGUUUGUGGCUCCAUAACUCGAGUACGGCAGAGGGGGGUGGAAUUCCACGUGUAGCAGUGAAAUGCGUAGAGAUGUGGAGGAACACCGAUGGCGAAGGCAGCCCCCUGGGCCAGUACUGACGCUCAUGCACGAAAGCGUGGGGAGCAAACAGGAUUAGAUACCCUGGUAGUCCACGCCCUAAACGAUGUCAACUAGUUGUUGGUAGGGUAAAACCUAUUAGUAACGGAGCUAACGCGUGAAGUUGACCGCCUGGGGAGUACGGCCGCAAGGUUA
This 372-nucleotide ribosomal RNA is filed under the name uncultured organism. RNAcentral's name for it is "bacterial SSU rRNA". It matches the Rfam family "Bacterial small subunit ribosomal RNA", at positions 526 to 896 of the family's 1533-position model. The record is from RNAcentral.